Rhincodon typus (whale shark) is the source of this 240-nucleotide long non-coding RNA. RefSeq lists it as uncharacterized. The transcript has 3 exons. Lineage: Eukaryota; Metazoa; Chordata; Chondrichthyes; Orectolobiformes; Rhincodontidae. The record is from RefSeq and is a predicted model, not a curated record.
AAUCCAGCUUAAUGGUGUCAAAACAAACUGCGUCUUUCAUAGUCACUGAUGGAAUCUGAUGAUUUAGCAUUCAUGAUUUAGAAAGCACUGGACACUUCUAAACAGGAAGAGUUUGGCUAAUUAUUUGGAUCUUGAAGAUUAUCCACUUUCUUGGGACAACAUGUCAAAAUUUUCCACAGCUGUUUUCUUACAGCCUUGAAAAAUCUCCAUGGAUGAAUAAGGAUUUGAAACAAAGAGAGC